GGGAAGGAAGCAUGCGCACACAUGAAUAGGGGUUAUUGCUCAAUCUGCAUUCACGCCCUGGUGGAAACGGACUUUCAGUUUCAGUAGCUCUGGAUGGUAGGAGAGAAGCACCAUGGCUGACAACAUCCUCAAGGCAAAGAGCAAGCAGUUCAUCCGUUCAGUGGGUGCAGAGACAAUAAAUGGCUUGCUGGAUGAACUUUUGGAGAAGAAAGUGCUGAACCAGGGAGAGAUGGAGAGAAUAAAAGCUGUAAAUGCGACUGUUAUGGACAAGGCACGGGACCUGUGUUAUUCUGUCAUUAAAAAAGGGCCUCUGGCAUGCCAAAUCUUUAUCACUUACAUUUGUAAUGAAGACGUCUACCUGGCAGAAGUUCUGGAACUCUCCUAGAAGUGAAGAUGAGAUCUGAUGGACUUCAGUCAUUUUACAGAGCUUCUUCAGGAGUACGAGUUCUUCUCAGAUGAAAAAAAAAAUCCUUGCACUGAACCAUGUCAUCAUUGGUUCUCUAUUUCAAAUAAAUUUCUGUUUGUUUUUUUUAAA
This is a long non-coding RNA of Peromyscus eremicus (cactus mouse), 535 nucleotides long. RefSeq lists it as uncharacterized. Lineage: Eukaryota; Metazoa; Chordata; Mammalia; Rodentia; Cricetidae. The record is from RefSeq and is a predicted model, not a curated record. The transcript has 3 exons.